ACGAACGCUGGCGGCAUGCCUAACACAUGCAAGUCGAACGCCCCGCAAGGGGAGUGGCGGACGGGUGAGUAACGCGUGGGAACCUGCACUUCAGUGGGGGAUAACGACGGGAAACUGUCGCUAAUACCGCAUACGCCCUACGGGGGAAAGAUUUAUCGCUGAAGGAUGGGCCCGCGUCGGAUUAGCUAGUUGGUGAGGUAACGGCUCACCAAGGCGACGAUCCGUAGCUGGUCUAAGAGGAUGAUCAGCCACACUGGGACUGAGACACGGCCCAGACUCCUACGGGAGGCAGCAGUGGGGAAUAUUGGACAAUGGGCGAAAGCCUGAUCCAGCAAUGCCGCGUGAGUGAUGAAGGCCUUAGGGUUGUAAAGCUCUUUUACCAGGGAAGAUGAUGACUGUACCUGGAGAAUAAGCCCCGGCUAACUCCGU
RNAcentral lists this ribosomal RNA (429 nucleotides) under uncultured bacterium. RNAcentral describes it as "bacterial SSU rRNA". It matches the Rfam family "Bacterial small subunit ribosomal RNA", at positions 29 to 506 of the family's 1533-position model. The record is from RNAcentral.